Molecule: small nuclear RNA, 107 nt
Organism: Meriones unguiculatus (Mongolian gerbil)
Lineage: Eukaryota; Metazoa; Chordata; Mammalia; Rodentia; Muridae
Source: Ensembl
GUGCUCACUUCGGCAGCACAUAUACUACAAUUGGAAUGAUACAGAGAAGAUUAUCAUGGCCCCUCAGCAAAGAAGACACAUAAAUCUGUGAAGCAUUUCAUAUUUUU